Molecule: small nuclear RNA, 104 nt
Organism: Ailuropoda melanoleuca (giant panda)
Lineage: Eukaryota; Metazoa; Chordata; Mammalia; Carnivora; Ursidae
Source: Ensembl
GUGCUCACCUCAGCAGCACAUAUACUAAAACCGGGAUAAUACAGAGAUUAGCAUAGCCCCCGUGCAAUGAUGACAAGCGUAUUCAUGAAGCAUUCCAUAUUUUC